UACGAAGGGUGCGAGCGUUGUUCGGAAUUACUGGGCGUAAAGGGCGCGUAGGCGGGUCUGUAAGUCGAUUGUGAAAGCCCUGGGCUUAACCCGGGAAUGGCAGUCGAAACUGCAGAUCUUGAAUGCUUGAGAGGAUGGCGGAAUUCCCGGUGUAGUAGUGAAAUACGUAGAUAUCGGGAAGAACACCUGAGGCGAAGGCGGCUAUCUGGCGAUGCAUUGACGCUGAGGCGCGAAAGCGUGGGGAGCAAACAGG
This 253-nucleotide ribosomal RNA is filed under the name uncultured bacterium. Its description in RNAcentral is "partial 16S ribosomal RNA". It matches the Rfam family "Bacterial small subunit ribosomal RNA", at positions 524 to 776 of the family's 1533-position model. The record is from RNAcentral.